Molecule: ribosomal RNA, 428 nt
Filed under: uncultured bacterium
Lineage: Bacteria
Description: bacterial SSU rRNA
Rfam family: Bacterial small subunit ribosomal RNA
Source: RNAcentral
UGGGGAAUAUUGGGCAAUGGGCGCAAGCCUGACCCAGCAACGCCGCGUGUGGGAUGAAGGCUUUCGGGUCGUAAACCACUGUCAGGAGGGAAGAAAUGGGUGGUUCCCAACACGGAUCACCCUUGACGGUACCUCCAGAGGAAGCACCGGCUAACUCCGUGCCAGCAGCCGCGGUAAUACGGAGGGUGCAAGCGUUAUUCGGAAUCACUGGGCGUAAAGCGCGCGUAGGCGGCAGGGCAAGUCAGGUGUGAAAGCCCACGGCUCAACCGUGGAACUGCACUUGAAACUGUCUUGCUAGAGUAUGGGAGAGGGUGGCAGAAUUCCCGGUGUAGGAGUGAAAUCCGUAGAUAUCGGGAGGAAUACCAGUGGCGAAGGCGGCCACCUGGACCAUAACUGACGCUGAGGUGCGAAAGCGUGGGGAGCAAACA